This is a small nucleolar RNA of Vicugna pacos (alpaca), 131 nucleotides long. NCBI's taxonomy places the organism in Eukaryota, Metazoa, Chordata, Mammalia, Artiodactyla, Camelidae. The record is from Ensembl.
CCCUCCUACAAAGGCGUGUCUGUGGUUUCCUAUCUUUGGACACGUAAGAAUUGGAGGCAAAGAAAUGUGGACUUGGAGAAAUCUGGGGCCAGCUUGCACCCUGCAGGCUCAAGAUCAACCAUCCCACAAAG